Molecule: transfer RNA, 76 nt
Filed under: Desulfovibrio ferrophilus
Lineage: Bacteria; Pseudomonadati; Thermodesulfobacteriota; Desulfovibrionia; Desulfovibrionales; Desulfovibrionaceae
Also listed under: 1 other name
Description: tRNA-Met
Rfam family: tRNA
About the family: Transfer RNA (tRNA) molecules are approximately 80 nucleotides in length. Their secondary structure includes four short double-helical elements and three loops (D, anti-codon, and T loops).
Source: RNAcentral
GGGCCGGUAGCUCAAUUGGCAGAGCCUUCGGCUCAUAACCGAACUGGUGUAGGUUCAAAUCCUACCCGGCCUACCA